RNAcentral lists this ribosomal RNA (186 nucleotides) under Triticum aestivum (bread wheat). Its description in RNAcentral is "partial small subunit ribosomal RNA". The record is from RNAcentral. Lineage: Eukaryota; Viridiplantae; Streptophyta; Magnoliopsida; Poales; Poaceae.
AUGGUUCGAGAGGAGGUAGCAGGAUCCACUCAAACACUACAGUGGAAGUGUGUUGAAUCAAGAGUAGAUAGUAAGCGCCUUUAUUAUGGUCGUUUCAUUCUGUCCCCGCUUAGAAAAGGUCAAGGGAUCCUUUUCCUCGUUCGAGAGUCUCCGCCCUUCUUCCACUCCGUCCCGAAGACUAACUAA